CGUCCAGACUCCUACGGGAGGCAGCAGUGGGGGAUAUUGCACAAUGGGGGAAACCCUGAUGCAGCGACGCCGCGUGAGUGAAGAAGUAUUUCGGUAUGUAAAGCUCUAUCAGCAGGGAAGAAAAUGACGGUACCUGACUAAGAAGCCCCGGCUAACUACGUGCCAGCAGCCGCGGUAAUACGUAGGGGGCAAGCGUUAUCCGGAUUUACUGGGUGUAAAGGGAGCGUAGACGGCAUGGCAAGUCAGAUGUGAAAGCCCGGGGCUCAACCCCGGGACUGCAUUUGAAACUGUCAGGCUGGAGUGCAGGAGAGGUAAGUGGAAUUCCUAGUGUAGCGGUGAAAUGCGUAGAUAUUAGGAGGAACACCGGCGGCGAAGGCGGCCUGCUGGACCGCGACUGACGUUGAGGCUCGAAAGCGUGGGGAGCGAACAGGAUUAGAUACCCGUGUAUA
RNAcentral lists this ribosomal RNA (449 nucleotides) under uncultured bacterium. RNAcentral describes it as "bacterial SSU rRNA". It matches the Rfam family "Bacterial small subunit ribosomal RNA", at positions 328 to 794 of the family's 1533-position model. The record is from RNAcentral.